UAUACUAUCUUGGGUACUUUUCAAAAUAGUUUAUUGAAGAACGCUUACUUUAACACUCUAAUGCAUAUUUUCACUUUUAUUCGAAUACAGAUACAGAUACAAAUACUGGGCUCUCUGCACAUCCUUAACAGCGCAACCGAUAUAUGAUGCCACACGUCAGUUAGUGUCAUACAUGAUCCUCUGAACUUCCAUUUGUUUGUCCCAUGAAAGCAGCUUCAGUCUGCCUGCUAGCGCCAGCACAGAGUUCUUUUAACACCGGCGUAGCAGGUGAGCAGUGGUUUGUUUUUCGCUCCUUGUUAACAGUAACAGCUGUCUCCAUGUCUCAUACGAGGGUACAAUGUCCAAACGGAAAACGAAACGAGCUCCUAGAGGCUACAAGAGAAACUGCAGUAGGAAGUCAGUCUGAGUCAGUAACAGCUGUAAAGUGAUGAAAGACUGUGUAAACGCUGUUUCAGAAUUUGAGAGGUGAGUAAACAGCGUUAACCUGCAUUAGAUCCCACUACAGCUCUGUGUAUAACUGUAAAAAUAAAAAAAGGGAAAUACUGGAAAUUUACAGGGGAAAUUACGCAAUGGGAGCACAGUAAGAGACGGGAGAAACCCAGGAAAAACACCUGCCUUGUUAGCACAAUUUAGCUAAACGUUAACCCAAGUCUGCAGUGUUUGGUCUUCCCAGUAUGCUAGCAUUAGCUUCAGUCUGAGGUAGCAGGGCCUGUUUCCAGAGUGCGAAAGAAAACACCCCGUACUCCUUAUUUGGAAGCUCUUGGCUCCGAACAGAAAAGAUGGCACCAACAAAAAGCUGCAACUCCAGGCUUCAAACCUGCUCCAAUGCAAAACAAUGGGUGAUCUUGCUACGUCCAUCUUUAUAAACAGUCUAUGAUUACAUUGCACUGGACUAUAUCACUCCCUGCAAACUGAGCAGUCAAGAAUGAUGCUCUGUAGUGAAAACACGGACAACAAUGAGAUCAGCAUGACAGCAGAAGACAAAGGAAAUAACAUUGAGACUUAAUUGAGACACCCAGCACCGCUUCAAUGAUGCACCACAUAAUCAUCAGACAGUGACAUGUACAAUCAUUAAAUUCUAGAGUAAAGUGUUCCCAGAGCACCAAGUCACAAUAUUCUUAAUUAACCUUUAGAUCGGGGAGGUUGUGUUCAACAAGUAACAGGGACAAAUUAAAUGAACAAGAUUCUGUUCUUUAUUUCUUCCUUACUUUGUGUUCUCAAUCCUGGAUCACCUCACAAGAUGGGAUUUUUGGCAUGUGGAAAACGUCUAUCUGACACUUGCCAGAUGAAACCCCGGAGGCCUCCACCUCUAAAAGGACCCAUGCUGUGUCAGGAAAAGGGAUUUAUGACAAUAACAUUUCACAUUUUUUCCCUUUGGACUCACUUGAGCUCCAAGACCUCAGAAACACAGAGACAAAGGAUAAAAAUAUAACUUUCCUUGGGAAAGACUUUAGGU
Thunnus maccoyii (southern bluefin tuna) is the source of this 1456-nucleotide long non-coding RNA. RefSeq lists it as uncharacterized. NCBI's taxonomy places the organism in Eukaryota, Metazoa, Chordata, Actinopteri, Scombriformes, Scombridae. The record is from RefSeq and is a predicted model, not a curated record. The transcript is spliced from 3 exons.